CCUACGGGAGACAGCAGUGAGGGAUAUUGCACAAUGGGGGAAACCCUGAUGCAGCAACGCCGCGUGUGGGAAGAAGGUUUUCGGAUUGUAAACCACUGUUCUUGGUGAAGAUAAUGACGGUAACCAAGGAGUAAGCUCCGGCUAACUACGUGCCAGCCGCCGCGGUAAUACGUAGGGCGCAAGCGUUGUCCGGAUUUACUGGGUGUAAAGUGUGCGUAGGCGGUCUUGCAAGUCAGACGUGAAAGCCACGGGCUAAACCUGUGGACUGCGGUUGAAACUGUGGGGCUUGAGUGAAGUAGAGGUGGGCGGAAUUCCCGGUGUAGCGGUGAAAUGCGUAGAGAUAGGGAGGAACACCAGUGGCGAAGGCGGCCUACUGGGCUUUAACUGACGCUGAGGCACGAAAGCAUGGGUAGCAAACAGGAUUAGAUACCCUGGGAAUC
This 440-nucleotide ribosomal RNA is filed under the name uncultured bacterium. RNAcentral's name for it is "partial 16S ribosomal RNA". It matches the Rfam family "Bacterial small subunit ribosomal RNA", at positions 338 to 795 of the family's 1533-position model. The record is from RNAcentral.